GCGGGUAUAGUUCAAUGGUAGAACAUUAGCCUUCCAAGCUAAAUAUGCGGGUUCGAUUCCCGCUACCCGCUCCA
Molecule: transfer RNA, 74 nt
Filed under: Sphingomonas sp.
Lineage: Bacteria; Pseudomonadati; Pseudomonadota; Alphaproteobacteria; Sphingomonadales; Sphingomonadaceae
Also listed under: 1 other name
Description: tRNA-Gly
Rfam family: tRNA
About the family: Transfer RNA (tRNA) molecules are approximately 80 nucleotides in length. Their secondary structure includes four short double-helical elements and three loops (D, anti-codon, and T loops). Further hydrogen bonds mediate the characteristic L-shaped molecular structure. tRNAs have two regions of fundamental functional importance: the anti-codon, which is responsible for specific mRNA codon recognition, and the 3' end, to which the tRNAs corresponding amino acid is attached (by aminoacyl-tRNA synthetases). tRNAs cope with the degeneracy of the genetic code in two manners: having more than one tRNA (with a specific anti-codon) for a particular amino acid; and 'wobble' base-pairing, i.e. permitting non-standard base-pairing at the 3rd anti-codon position.
Source: RNAcentral